UACGUAGGGGGGCAAGCGUUGUCCGGAAUCAUUGGGCGUAAAGAGCGUGUAGGCGGCCCGGUAAGUCCGCUGUGAAAGUCAAAGGCUCAACCUUUGAAUGUCAGCGGAUACUGCCGGGCUAGAGUCCGGAAGAGGCGAGUGGAAUUCCUGGUGUAGCGGUGAAAUGCGCAGAUAUCAGGAGGAACACCGAUGGCGAAGGCAGGUCUCUGGGCAUUAACUGACGCUGAGGAGCGAAAGCAUGGGGAGCGAACAGG
Molecule: ribosomal RNA, 254 nt
Filed under: uncultured bacterium
Lineage: Bacteria
Description: partial 16S ribosomal RNA
Rfam family: Bacterial small subunit ribosomal RNA
Source: RNAcentral